Molecule: long non-coding RNA, 360 nt
Organism: Cydia amplana
Lineage: Eukaryota; Metazoa; Arthropoda; Insecta; Lepidoptera; Tortricidae
Exons: 2
Source: RefSeq, a predicted model, not a curated record
GCAGCUUGUGGCGAGCUGUUGGGGAGUAACGACCCCACGGACCCGAGUGCUCCAGAGAGUCGGUCAGGUGGAACCCCAAGGGGACCCGCAGGACUCUCGGCUCUGGCUUGCCUUCAUUGGCCGUCCAGAGAGGAGUCGUUAGAGCUAUAUGCUCCAGGGGUGGAAGUGAAAUUUGCGUAAGCGCGAGUUGGCACAGUGGCUGUUUACAGCCACUGGGUAGAAAGCGGUGUACACCUCUCGACACCCCUGAGCCGCUCACACCGAUGUUGCGCCUGGUCGUCUUUACGACGACAGUUUCAGGGGCCCAUCUAGUCAGCGGCGAGUCACCACCUGCCUCGAUAACGUGUGUUAGCAUUGUUA